This 253-nucleotide ribosomal RNA is filed under the name Hoylesella shahii. RNAcentral's name for it is "Prevotella shahii partial 16S ribosomal RNA". It matches the Rfam family "Bacterial small subunit ribosomal RNA", at positions 524 to 776 of the family's 1533-position model. The record is from RNAcentral. Lineage: Bacteria; Pseudomonadati; Bacteroidota; Bacteroidia; Bacteroidales; Prevotellaceae.
UACGGAAGGUCCAGGCGUUAUCCGGAUUUAUUGGGUUUAAAGGGAGCGUAGGCCGCCCCUUAAGCGUGUUGUGAAAUGCCGCGGCUCAACCGUGGCACUGCUGCGCGAACUGGGGGGCUUGAGUGCACGCAACGCAGGCGGAAUUCGUGGUGUAGCGGUGAAAUGCUUAGAUAUCACGAAGAACUCCGAUUGCGAAGGCAGCUUGCGGGAGUGCGACUGACGCUGAAGCUCGAAGGUGCGGGUAUCGAACAGG